CAGUAGCCGCGGGAAUACGAAGGGGGCUAGCGUUGUUCGGAAUUACUGGGCGUAAAGCGCACGUAGGCGGAUUGUUAAGUUAGGGGUGAAAUCCCAGGGCUCAACCCUGGAACUGCCUUUAAUACUGGCAAUCUCGAGUCCGAGAGAGGUGAGUGGAAUUCCGAGUGUAGAGGUGAAAUUCGUAGAUAUUCGGAGGAACACCAGUGGCGAAGGCGGCUCACUGGCUCGGUACUGACGCUGAGGUGCGAAAGCGUGGGGAGCAAACAGGAUUAGAUACCCCCGUAGUCCCUGUCUCUUAUAU
Molecule: ribosomal RNA, 301 nt
Filed under: uncultured bacterium
Lineage: Bacteria
Description: partial 16S ribosomal RNA
Rfam family: Bacterial small subunit ribosomal RNA
Source: RNAcentral